RNAcentral lists this ribosomal RNA (106 nucleotides) under Fasciola hepatica (liver fluke). Its description in RNAcentral is "partial 5.8S ribosomal RNA". It matches the Rfam family "5.8S ribosomal RNA", at positions 49 to 154 of the family's 154-position model. Rfam says of the family: 5.8S ribosomal RNA (5.8S rRNA) is a component of the large subunit of the eukaryotic ribosome. It is transcribed by RNA polymerase I as part of the 45S precursor that also contains 18S and 28S rRNA. Lineage: Eukaryota; Metazoa; Platyhelminthes; Trematoda; Plagiorchiida; Fasciolidae. The record is from RNAcentral.
CCAACUGUGUGAAUUAAUGUGAACUGCAUACUGCUUUGAACAUCGACAUCUUGAACGCACAUUGCGGCCACGGGUUUUCCUGUGGCCACGCCUGUCCGGGGGUCGG